This is a long non-coding RNA of Notothenia coriiceps (black rockcod), 1001 nucleotides long. RefSeq lists it as uncharacterized. The record is from RefSeq and is a predicted model, not a curated record. The transcript has 4 exons. Lineage: Eukaryota; Metazoa; Chordata; Actinopteri; Perciformes; Nototheniidae.
ACCGGCUCGCUAUGUAUAUAUGAAGGGCUUAUUCUAAGCUAAUCACAACAAAAAAUAGUUAUAGGUGAUUAUACACAUUAAUGGAAACCUAAUUAUGAAUACCAUAAUCAAUUAUAUCUUAUAGAACCCCUAUAAAUACUCCACAGUGUACUUUAGAAAUAGAGAUAUUAUCUCAGUACUGUGAUUGAGCCUGUGUGCAACAGCAGAACAUCUAGUAUACUUGUAAGGCAUCCAAGUGAAUACUCACCUUCUAGUAGUACAAUUACCCCAAGCACAAGAAAAAAUACUGCAGGUGAUCAAAAAUUGCGACGUUUAUGUUGUAGAAUGGCUCUAAACUUAAUCCCACUUAGAAUCUAUGGCACUGUUCAUAAACCACAGUGCUGCUCCACAAACCUAGAUGAUAUAUACAGUGUAAAUUCCGCCAAGAGAAAUGAGAAAUGCAAUGCAGAAUAAUGUUCAAAGCUUCUACUUGCUGAUCGCAACAGUCUUAAGACUGUUAAUGCAUGCAUAAAAAAAAAAGUCUUUGUUAUUGCAUAGGGUUGAAUAUUUGUGCAAGCAGUGUAUGUGAUUUAUGUUUAACAACUGGUUUUGCCUUUGCAAAUAACCAGGGCAUAAUUGUUCUGAAAUAAUGUAUAUUUUGGUUUGUUGGAAGCUGGAAAAAUUUCAGGCCUUGGAGCCAGAGGCGUCUUGUUCCUAGCCCGGCCUGGAAUAAAGAAGGACUGGACCUGCGAAGUAAUGAUGCCAAGGUGCAAUGUCAGCAGCAAUGCCUCCACCUGCCUCCGAAGGAUGGAGGUGUUAUUUGAAUUUGUUGCGAAAGGUUGGAGUCAUACAGAGCCUGCAGCAGCCUCCGAAACCCCACAGCCUCCUGCGGAAAACUCGCCAGCCACAUCAAAAGUCGCCAUUGCCACCGCAGACACCCCCACCAAGUCCUCUGGAAACCUAUCCGAGGAGAUGUAAACCCUGACACUCAUCCCUGUCCCAGCUGCAAGCACCUAUUCACC